GGAGGCAGCAGUGGGGAAUAUUGCACAAUGGGCGCAAGCCUGAUGCAGCGACGCCGCGUGAGGGAUGACGGCCUUCGGGUUGUAAACCUCUUUCACCAGGGACGAAGCGCAAGUGACGGUACCUGGAGAAGAAGCACCGGCCAACUACGUGCCAGCAGCCGCGGUA
RNAcentral lists this ribosomal RNA (166 nucleotides) under uncultured Gordonia sp. Its description in RNAcentral is "partial 16S ribosomal RNA". It matches the Rfam family "Bacterial small subunit ribosomal RNA", at positions 344 to 522 of the family's 1533-position model. The record is from RNAcentral. Lineage: Bacteria; Bacillati; Actinomycetota; Actinomycetes; Mycobacteriales; Gordoniaceae.